ACACAUGCAAGUCGAACGAGAGAUGAGGAGCUUGCUCUUCAAAUCGAGUGGCGAACGGGUGAGUAACGCGUGAGGAACCUGCCUCAAAGAGGGGGACAACAGUUGGAAACGACUGCUAAUACCGCAUAAGCCCACGGCUCGGCAUCGAGCAGGGGGAAAAGGAGCAAUCCGCUUUGAGAUGGCCUCGCGUCCGAUUAGCUAGUUGGUGAGGUAAUGGCCCACCAAGGCGACGAUCGGUAGCCGGACUGGGAGGUUGAACGGCCACAUUGGGACUGAGACACGGCCCAGACUCCUACGGGAGGCAGCAGUGGGGAAUAUUGCACAAUGGGGGAAACCCUGAUGCAGCGACGCCGCGUGGAGGAAGAAGGUCUUCGGAUUGUAAACUCCUGUUGUUGAGGAAGAUAAUGACGGUACUCAACAAGGAAGUGACGGCUAACUACGUGCCAGCAGCCGCGGUAAAACGUAGGUCACAAGCGUUGUCCGGAAUUACUGGGUGUAAAGGGAGCGCAGGCGGGAGAACAAGUUGGAAGUGAAAUCCAUGGGCUCAACCCAUGAACUGCUUUCAAAACUGUUUUUCUUGAGUAGUGCAGAGGUAGGCGGAAUUCCCGGUGUAGCGGUGGAAUGCGUAGAUAUCGGGAGGAACACCAGUGGCGAAGGCGGCCUACUGGGCACCAACUGACGCUGAGGCUCGAAAGUGUGGGUAGCAAACAGGAUUAGAUACCCUGGUAGUCCACACCGUAAACGAUGAUUACUAGGUGUUGGAGGAUUGACCCCUUCAGUGCCGCAGUUAACACAAUAAGUAAUCCACCUGGGGAGUACGACCGCAAGGUUGAAACUCAAAGGAAUUGACGGGGGCCCGCACAAGCAGUGG
RNAcentral lists this ribosomal RNA (871 nucleotides) under uncultured bacterium. RNAcentral's name for it is "bacterial SSU rRNA". It matches the Rfam family "Bacterial small subunit ribosomal RNA", at positions 51 to 935 of the family's 1533-position model. The record is from RNAcentral.